CAAUAGCGUAUAUUAAAGUUGUUGCAGUUAAAAAGCUCGUAGUUGGAUUUCUGGUCGGAAGCUCCUGUCCUCUGAUGAGCGUACAAGUGCGUCCUACCAUCCUUCUGUUAACCUUUAAGGCUUUCGCGGCUUUCUAGGGGCUCAGAUAUUUUACCUUGAGAAAAUUAGAGUGUUUCAGGCAGGCUAGCGCCGGAAUACAUUAGCAUGGAAUAAUGGAAUAGGACUUUUGCCUCUUCUGUUGGUCAUGAGGCUCGAGUAAUGAUUAAUAGGGAUAGUUGGGGGUAUUCAUAUUCAAUUGUCAGAGGUGAAAUUCUCGGAUUUGUUAAAGACUAACUUAUGCGAAAGCAUUUGCCAAGGAUGUUUUCAUUAA
RNAcentral lists this ribosomal RNA (370 nucleotides) under uncultured eukaryote. RNAcentral describes it as "partial 18S ribosomal RNA". It matches the Rfam family "Eukaryotic small subunit ribosomal RNA", at positions 592 to 976 of the family's 1831-position model. The record is from RNAcentral.